ACUGCUGAGGAGUCCCACAAUAGGACGAAACGCGAGUCAAACUGAAU
This 47-nucleotide non-coding RNA is filed under the name Schistosoma mattheei. Lineage: Eukaryota; Metazoa; Platyhelminthes; Trematoda; Strigeidida; Schistosomatidae. The record is from RNAcentral.